CAUUUUAGUUUGCUUGCAAACUGAAGAUGGCGACCGGCGCACGGGUGAGUAACACGUAUCCAACCUGCCGAUAACUCCGGGAUAGCCUUUCGAAAGAAAGAUUAAUACCGGAUGGCAUACGAAUAUCGCAUGAUAUUUUUAUUAAAGAAUUUCGGUUAUCGAUGGGGAUGCGUUCCAUUAGUUUGUUGGCGGGGUAACGGCCCACCAAGACUACAAUGGAUAGGGGUUCUGAGAGGAAGGUCCCCCACAUUGGAACUGAGACACGGUCCAAACUCCUACGGGAGGCAGCAGUGAGGAAUAUUGGUCAAUGGGCGAGAGCCUGAACCAGCCAAGUAGCGUGAAGGAUGAAGGCUCUAUGGGUCGUAAACUUCUUUUAUAUGGGAAUAAAGUUUUCCACGUGUGGAAUUUUGUAUGUACCAUAUGAAUAAGGAUCGGCUAACUCCGUGCCAGCAGCCGCGGUAAUACGGAGGAUCCGAGCGUUAUCCGGAUUUAUUGGGUUUAAAGGGAGCGUAGGUGGAUUGUUAAGUCAGUUGUGAAAGUUUGCGGCUCAACCGUAAAAUUGCAGUUGAAACUGGGAGUCUUGAGUACAGUAGAGGUGGGCGGAAUUCGUGGUGUAGCGGUGAAAUGCUUAGAUAUCACGAAGAACUCCGAUUGCGAAGGCAGCUCACUAGACUGUCACUGACAC
This 685-nucleotide ribosomal RNA is filed under the name uncultured Bacteroidales bacterium. RNAcentral's name for it is "bacterial SSU rRNA". It matches the Rfam family "Bacterial small subunit ribosomal RNA", at positions 67 to 746 of the family's 1533-position model. Lineage: Bacteria; Pseudomonadati; Bacteroidota; Bacteroidia; Bacteroidales. The record is from RNAcentral.